UAUGCACUACUCUUUUUAGUACGAAAGGACCAAAAGAGUGAAACCUAUGCCCUAAGCAAGUUUCCCUGCCCUAUGAAGAAAUAUCAAAUUAACAGUACCAACCCCCCCCCAGAACAGGGC
This 120-nucleotide ribosomal RNA is filed under the name Varanus storri. Its description in RNAcentral is "partial 16S ribosomal RNA". Lineage: Eukaryota; Metazoa; Chordata; Lepidosauria; Squamata; Varanidae. The record is from RNAcentral.